Molecule: ribosomal RNA, 254 nt
Filed under: uncultured bacterium
Lineage: Bacteria
Description: partial 16S ribosomal RNA
Rfam family: Bacterial small subunit ribosomal RNA
Source: RNAcentral
UACGUAGGACCCAAGCGUUAUCCGGAGUGACUGGGCGUAAAGAGUUGCGUAGGCGGUCGUAUAAGCGAAUAGUGAAAUCUGGUGGCUCAACCAUCAACACAUUGUUCGAACUGUACGACUCGAGAAUGGUAGAGGUACUUGGAAUUUCUUGUGUAGGAGUGAAAUCCGUAGAUAUAAGAAGGAACACCAAUGGCGUAGGCAGAGUACUGGACCAUUUCUGACGCUGAGGCACGAAAGCGUGGGGAGCGAACCGG